GGACAGUCUGGUGGCAAGGCUGGAGACAGCUAACAUAUUCUCUUCAGGCUCCAAGCGUGAGUCUGAGCCUGGAGAUGGGGCCCAGUACUCUCAGCGUUCCUAACGGAUUCCCUGGGAAUUCUGAUAGCCAAGUUUGGAAAGCGUGGAAGUCAGAAUGUGAUGCAAUCGAGCAGGCUUCCACCUUGCUCGUUACAGUCGCAUUCCACACAUGCUUUCUGGUGACAACACCCACAUCACCCUAGGAACAUGGGUGUUCCUAACUUGUCAGAUCCUCAUGCACCCCGGGCCCUGGGAGGACGUUCCUGUCACUGGCUGCUUCUACCCUGAUUUCGUCCUCAGAGUAGCAGUCCCGAGGUUGAGUGUGACCCCAGAUCACCCCUCCCGUGGAGGUGCUUCUGCUGGGGAGGACCCGCAUGCUUGCUUGUGUUUACGCCUGGGGAAGCCCCUCUUGGCAAGAUGCUUGGAAGAGGCUCCAGAAGGCAGAGCUCAGAGGACGACUUGGUGUUUCAGAAGGAUUCACUUCAUGGUAGGAAAUUCUUUCCGAAGGAGAUGUCCACCAGCAGUGCCCAGAGUGAGCCCUGCCCAGAAAACCCCACCCCGCCGUCCCCGCACCUAGCACGAGGGAGCAGAACCACACUCCUGCACCUUCCGUGUUCCCGGCCCUCUACGUAAGCAAUCCCGUUGAAUCUUCCAAACAGCCCUGUUGACGUUGUCCUCGGUUUACCGAUGAAGAAUCAGGCCUGCAGAGCGUAAGUCAUUUGCCCAAGGUCACAUCUAAAAAGUAGUGAAGCCAGAUAGGUCCUGCUCUUCCCCACCUGCCCAGCUGUCCCCCACCCCAGAAUUAGAAAGUAGCAAGCUGAAGCUGCAUCUUGAUCUCCCUGAGGUGUCAUCAAGAAAACACAGGAGUCAGAGAUGAAGCCUCCAGCCACAGGGAAGUUUGACCCACCUCGUGCUCCAAAACCCGUUUGGGCGACACAAGCAAAUAAAGUGUCGGCGUUUGCAUGAGCAGCCUCCCAGCACAGAAGAGGAUGCACGGGGAUCUGACGCUAAGAGACAAGCUCUCCCACACGCGGCGCUGGGGACAAGGAGGAGGCCGUCUGUUCCAUCCCUGGUAGUCCCGAUGGGAAGUCCUCUGUAAGAGACAGGAAAACACAGCACCUGCCCACAGCAG
RNAcentral lists this long non-coding RNA (1171 nucleotides) under Equus caballus (horse). RNAcentral's name for it is "lncRNA (ENSECAG00000049262.1)". Lineage: Eukaryota; Metazoa; Chordata; Mammalia; Perissodactyla; Equidae. The record is from RNAcentral.